This 631-nucleotide long non-coding RNA is filed under the name Olea europaea subsp. europaea. The record is from RNAcentral. Lineage: Eukaryota; Viridiplantae; Streptophyta; Magnoliopsida; Lamiales; Oleaceae.
AUUUGACAUGGUAAUUCUUUUGUUGUUUNACCAACUCUUCUCUCCGUGGAGAUAGCUGGUCGUCAAUGGGCCCCAACUCAACGAAUAAACCUACUGAUGUCGAUACAUCUUUGCCCGAUUAGUUACCCUAAAUCACUAAUCACGUGUUCAUGAAGGUGGAUUGGACGAACUAGAAAUAUUUUCCAUUUCAUUGUCUAAUACCGCAUAACAAAUAUGCGCUAACAGUUCUCUCACCAACCCAAUUGGCAUCAAACCCCAUUCAUGGAUUCCCUACUUAACGAGUCUUAUCACUCAUCUGUUGUUCGUUUGUAAACUUAGUGCCAACAUGCUGCAUACAGGCCAGGUUCGUGCAGUAACUUAGCUAGAUAGUGCAUUCAAAUCGACAUUUUUACCGUUAUGAUCAUGUUGUAGAAUGUUGAGGUGUGUAAUUUACAAAGCCAUUGAGUCUUUUUAUCCAUUCUUGGUUCUUUAAUAUAUCCAAAUUCAUGAUUUUCUAAUAGCGUUUUCAUUCGCACAUUCUACACGCUGAAUUUGUGUGGUAAAACUAGAAAAUGAGUUCAUUGAAGUCCAAUUUUUUUGUACGUAUUCAUUAGAUGUCAAUGCCGCUUAAUCUGCAAGUCCUUCAACUUGU